RNAcentral lists this ribosomal RNA (599 nucleotides) under uncultured fungus. RNAcentral describes it as "eukaryotic LSU rRNA". The stretch from base 235 to 388 matches the Rfam family "5.8S ribosomal RNA". Lineage: Eukaryota; Fungi. The record is from RNAcentral.
UUGGUCAUUUAGAGGAAGUAAAAGUCGUAACAAGGUCUCCGUAGGUGAACCUGCGGAGGGAUCAUUACACAAUUAAAAUAUGAAGGCCCUUCAAACCGGCUGGAUUAUUUUUAUUCACCCUUGUCUUUUGCGCACUUGUUGUUUCCUGGGCGGGUUCGCUCGCCACCAGGACCACAUCAUAAACCUUUUUUGCUAAUGCAAUCAGCGUCAGUAUAACAAAUGUAAAUCAUUUACAACUUUCAACAACGGAUCUCUUGGUUCUGGCAUCGAUGAAGAACGCAGCGAAAUGCGAUAAGUAGUGUGAAUUGCAGAAUUCAGUGAAUCAUCGAAUCUUUGAACGCACAUUGCGCCCCUUGGUAUUCCAUGGGGCAUGCCUGUUCGAGCGUCAUUUGUACCUUCAAGCCCUGCUUGGUGUUGGGUGUUUUGUCUCGCCUCCGCGCGCAGACUCGCCUUAAAACAAUUGGCAGCCGGCGUAUUGAUUUCGGAGCGCAGUACAUCUCGCGCUUUGCACUCAUAACGACGACGUCCAAAAGUACAUUUUUACACUCUUGACCUCGGAUCAGGUAGGGAUACCCGCUGAACUUAGGCAUAUCAAUAAG